Molecule: transfer RNA, 75 nt
Filed under: Corynebacterium jeddahense
Lineage: Bacteria; Bacillati; Actinomycetota; Actinomycetes; Mycobacteriales; Corynebacteriaceae
Description: tRNA-Pro
Rfam family: tRNA
About the family: Transfer RNA (tRNA) molecules are approximately 80 nucleotides in length.
Source: RNAcentral
CGGGCUGUGGCGCAGUUUGGUAGCGCACCAUACUGGGGGUGUGGGGGUCGCAGGUUCAAAUCCUGUCAGUCCGAC